This is a transfer RNA of Strongyloides ratti, 72 nucleotides long. It matches the Rfam family "tRNA". Rfam says of the family: Transfer RNA (tRNA) molecules are approximately 80 nucleotides in length. The record is from Rfam. Lineage: Eukaryota; Metazoa; Nematoda; Chromadorea; Rhabditida; Strongyloididae.
UCUCUGGUAGUAUAGUGGUGAGUAUCCGCGCCUGUCACGUGCGAGACCGGGGUUCGAUUCCCCGCCAGAGAG